AUCCUUUUGUGGUUCAUAAGCAUGAUGACUGGGUUUUCACGCUGUGUGAGGUGUGCCUCCCUCAAACCUUGUUAUGACAUUGGUAUAUUACCUGUCUGACA
Pongo abelii (Sumatran orangutan) is the source of this 101-nucleotide small nucleolar RNA. The record is from Ensembl. NCBI's taxonomy places the organism in Eukaryota, Metazoa, Chordata, Mammalia, Primates, Hominidae.